Molecule: transfer RNA, 73 nt
Filed under: Desulfohalobium retbaense DSM 5692
Lineage: Bacteria; Pseudomonadati; Thermodesulfobacteriota; Desulfovibrionia; Desulfovibrionales; Desulfohalobiaceae
Rfam family: tRNA
About the family: Transfer RNA (tRNA) molecules are approximately 80 nucleotides in length. Their secondary structure includes four short double-helical elements and three loops (D, anti-codon, and T loops).
Source: Rfam by way of RNAcentral
GGGGGCGUAGCUCAGCUGGGAGAGCGCAGCGUUCGCAACGCUGAGGUCGUGGGUUCGAUCCCCAUCGCCUCCA